Molecule: RNA transcript, 2511 nt
Organism: Mus musculus (house mouse)
Lineage: Eukaryota; Metazoa; Chordata; Mammalia; Rodentia; Muridae
Gene: Ggt1
Gene name: gamma-glutamyltransferase 1
Exons: 16
Source: RefSeq, marked reviewed
ACUGGAUGUCAGGCUUUGUGAUGCCCUAGGACUGAGACCCUCAGACAUGGCAGAAGUCAGCAUCCUUCCUGAUUCUUGGACCUUCUUCCCCCGCUACCCUCCACGCAGCCUCCCAUCCCCUCCUCUGCAGCAUCAUUGUCCUAGGGCCGGCCACCUUGGCACGACAGGUUUCCUCCCUGGCAAACCUGCAUGACGACCCAGUCUGCCCUCUGCCAGGGCCAAGGCUGUGGCUGAAUUGACAGUGUGCGAAUGCCAGAGCUUUGAGCUUCCAGUCCAAGUAUCCCAGGGCCUUCUCAGACCCCCUUGUCCAGAGCUGAGAGCCAGGAAAAAAGGAAGUGUGAAUUCUGGACCCAGAUCCCUGGGCGAGCUUUCGUUCGCCUGCUAUCCUGGUGCCUAGAUGCUGAAUGCUCCCAGGAAUUAACAAGCUGACCAUCCCGGAGGCCCACGCGCUUGGCUAAGUACAGGCUCCACUCACACCAAAGGAGUGCCAGGAGGUAGCCUGCUCUAGCAGUUCAGGGAAGAUCGGUCUCUGCAGAGUGUGGAGAGAGUUCCUGCCCAUCCAUACAGCUGUUUUUCAAAAGCCACCUCCCCAAGAAAGGUUUGGGGGCUCCUACUGGAAGCAGAGCCAUGAAGAAUCGGUUUCUGGUGCUGGGCCUGGUGGCUGUGGUUCUGGUAUUUGUCAUCAUCGGCCUCUGUAUCUGGUUGCCCUACACCUCUGGGAAGCCCGACCACGUGUACUCCAGGGCGGCGGUGGCCACCGACGCCAAGCGCUGCUCAGAGAUUGGACGGGAUAUCCUACAGGAAGGUGGUUCCGUGGUGGAUGCAGCCAUCGCAAGCCUGCUGUGUAUGGGGCUCAUGAAUGCCCACAGUAUGGGCAUCGGGGGCGGCCUGUUCUUCACCAUCUACAACAGCACCACAGGAAAAGUUGAGGUUAUCAAUGCCCGUGAGGUAGCUCCCAGGUUGGCCAAUACCACCAUGUUCAACAACUCCAAGGACUCUGAAGAAGGUGGCCUUUCAGUGGCUGUCCCUGGUGAAAUCCGUGGUUAUGAGCUGGCACACCAACGACACGGCCGGCUCCCCUGGGCUCGCCUCUUCCAACCCAGCAUCCAGCUGGCUCGCCACGGCUUCCCUGUGGGCAAGGGUUUGGCAAUAGCCCUGGACAAAAAACGGGACGUCAUUGAGAAGACCCCUGCCUUGUGCGAGGUGUUCUGCCGCCAAGGGAAGGUGCUUCAAGAAGGAGAGACGGUGACUAUGCCGAAGCUGGCUGACACAUUGCAGAUACUGGCCCAGGAGGGCGCCAAGGCCUUCUACAAUGGGAGCCUCACAGCCCAGAUUGUGAAAGACAUCCAGGAGGCUGGUGGCAUUAUGACGGUUGAGGACCUCAACAACUACCGUGCUGAGCUGAUUGAGCAUCCGAUGAGCAUCGGCCUCGGUGAUGCGACCCUGUACGUGCCCAGUGCCCCACUCAGCGGGCCCGUGCUGAUUCUCAUCUUGAACAUCCUCAAAGGAUACAACUUCUCUCCGAAGAGCGUAGCGACCCCUGAACAGAAGGCACUGACGUAUCACCGUAUCGUGGAGGCCUUUCGGUUUGCCUAUGCCAAGAGGACCAUGCUCGGUGACCCAAAGUUUGUCGAUGUGUCUCAGGCCAGCUCUGGGGUCUCGGCAGGUGAUCCGCAACAUGAGCUCUGAGUUCUACGCCACCCAGCUCCGAGCCCGCAUCACUGAUGAAACCACCCACCCAGCCGCCUACUAUGAGCCUGAAUUCUACCUUCAGGAUGAUGGAGGCACCGCUCACCUGUCUGCGGUUUCAGAGGAUGGCAGUGCUGUGGCUGCCACUAGUACCAUCAACCUCUACUUUGGCUCCAAGGUCCUGUCUCGGGUCAGUGGCAUCCUGUUUAAUGAUGAGAUGGAUGACUUCAGCUCGCCCAACUUCAUCAACCAGUUCAGGGUAGCCCCCUCACCAGCCAACUUCAUCAAGCCAGGUAAGCAGCCUCUUUCAUCCAUGUGUCCCUCAAUCAUCCUGGAUAAGGACGGCCAGGUUCGCAUGGUGGUCGGAGCCUCAGGGGGUACCCAGAUCACCACAUCUGUUGCACUGGCCAUCAUCAACAGCCUGUGGUUCGGAUACGAUGUGAAGAGAGCUGUGGAGGAGCCCCGGCUGCACAACCAGCUUUUACCUAAUACCACAACGGUAGAGAAAGACAUUGAUCAGGUGGUGACUGCAGGCCUGAAGAUUCGGCACCACCAUACAGAAGUCACGCCCACCUUCAUCGCUGUAGUUCAGGCUGUCGUUCGAGCAUCAGGUGGUUGGGCAGCUGCCUCAGACUCCAGAAAAGGCGGGGAACCUGCUGGCUACUGAGUGCCCGGAAGAGGCAAGAUUGACCCGCAGCCAAGGGACGAGAAUGGGAACAGGAGCAAGAGUGGGACGUUGGAGAACAUGCCGCCUCUGGGUGGGACAGAGGGAGCGCAAUAAAUGGAGGCCACCGCCAAGCUGCGGGAAGCCUUUGCGGGCUG